AUGAAGUUUGAAAGUUUUGAGGAGGCUGUUGAUCACUACGAGCUAUAUGCACUCAGAAAUGGAUUUGGGACAAGGAUAGAGUACACAAGAACACUGAAGGACAACAUAGUGAGCAGAGCACUCCUGAUGUGUGGGAAAGGCGGCAAGCCAAAGAAGAAGAAGAAGGAUGUACUGAACCCAAAAGGCAUCGUGAAGAAGAGUAAAAGGCGUAAGGUUAAGAGGACUCAGUGACCAGCCCGCCUUUACCUUACGCACAAGGAUGCGUGGUGGAGAGUCGAACGCUUUGAUGACAACCACAACCAUCCACUGAUAAGAAAGCCAUCUCUGACAAAAUACACAACACAUGACCUUGCAAAUCAGCGAGCCAAAUUUCGCAAGGAGUACCGUAAUGCAGACGUGGGGAGCACAAUUUCAUACUUUGAGGAGCUCAGGGCAAAGGAUCCAGAUUUCUAUUGGAGAAUGAAACUUGAUGAUGAAGACAGGGUGGAAAACGUAUUCUGGAUAGAUGGUGCAUCACAUAGGGCAUACGCAAAAUACAACGACAUUGUGUCAUUCGACACAACGUACAUGACUAAUAUGUACAAGAUGUCGUGUGCCCCCUUCAUUGGCAUUAACAACCAUGGGGAAUCAAUCCAAUUCGGUUGUGGUUUCGUUCGAAACGAACUGACUGACAACUUUGUGUGGUUGUUUAACACAUUUUUGCAUGCGAUGGGUGGGGUUGUACCAAAGAACAUAAUCACAUAUCAGGACUUUGCCAUGAGGAAUGCUAUUGACGAGGUGUUCAUCGGGAUAGUACACAGAAAUUGCAGAUGGCACAUUAUGAAGAAAGCACAUGAGAAGCUUGGGAGGUUAAUGGCCGAUGAUGAACCACUGAACAAAGCAUUCAAAGAUUGUGUUGACAACAACUUGAAUGUUGAGGAGUUUGAGGAAAAAUGGUGGAAGAUGCUGGACGAUCAUGGGCAAACGGACAACGAGCAUUUCCACUGGCUGUGGGAAAACAGGGAAUGCUGGGUCCUAGUGUACUACAUGCACGACUUCUUCCCAUUCUUGUAGACAACGGCAAGGAGCGAGGGAUUCAACGCUGUGUUGAAGAAGUACGUCAACCCAAAUAACUUGCUAGUGGAAUUUGCAAAACAGUACACUGCAAUACAAGAGAAGGAGAUGGUGAGCGUGUCAAAAGAGCACCUGGAAAUAGUGUACAAAGAGGUGGAAACAUACUCCUUCAACCCACUCAAGUUACAUGUGUAG
This 1248-nucleotide ribosomal RNA is filed under the name Triticum aestivum (bread wheat). RNAcentral's name for it is "partial small subunit ribosomal RNA". The record is from RNAcentral. Lineage: Eukaryota; Viridiplantae; Streptophyta; Magnoliopsida; Poales; Poaceae.